RNAcentral lists this ribosomal RNA (828 nucleotides) under uncultured bacterium. RNAcentral's name for it is "bacterial SSU rRNA". It matches the Rfam family "Bacterial small subunit ribosomal RNA", at positions 49 to 890 of the family's 1533-position model. The record is from RNAcentral.
UAACACAUGCAAGUCGAACGAGCGAGAGAGAGCUUGCUUUCUCGAGCGAGUGGCGAACGGGUGAGUAACGCGUGAGGAACCUGCCUCAAAGAGGGGGACAACAGUUGGAAACGACUGCUAAUACCGCAUAAGCCCACGGCUCGGCAUCGAGCAGAGGGAAAAGGAGCAAUCCGCUUUGAGAUGGCCUCGCGUCCGAUUAGCUAGUUGGUGAGGUAACGGCCCACCAAGGCAACGAUCGGUAGCCGGACUGAGAGGUUGAACGGCCACAUUGGGACUGAGACACGGCCCAGACUCCUACGGGAGGCAGCAGUGGGGAAUAUUGCACAAUGGGGGAAACCCUGAUGCAGCGACGCCGCGUGGAGGAAGAAGGUCUUCGGAUUGUAAACUCCUGUUGUUGGGGAAGAUAAUGACGGUACCCAACAAGGAAGUGACGGCUAACUACGUGCCAGCAGCCGCGGUAAAACGUAGGUCACAAGCGUUGUCCGGAAUUACUGGGUGUAAAGGGAGCGCAGGCGGGAAGACAAGUUGGAAGUGAAAUCUAUGGGCUCAACCCAUAAACUGCUUUCAAAACUGUUUUUCUUGAGUAGUGCAGAGGUAGGCGGAAUUCCCGGUGUAGCGGUGGAAUGCGUAGAUAUCGGGAGGAACACCAGUGGCGAAGGCGGCCUACUGGGCACCAACUGACGCUGAGGCUCGAAAGUGUGGGUAGCAAACAGGAUUAGAUACCCUGGUAGUCCACACCGUAAACGAUGAUUACUAGGUGUUGGAGGAUUGACCCCUUCAGUGCCGCAGUUAACACAAUAAGUAAUCCACCUGGGGAGUACGACCGCA